This 546-nucleotide ribosomal RNA is filed under the name uncultured Glomeromycotina. RNAcentral describes it as "SSU rRNA". It matches the Rfam family "Eukaryotic small subunit ribosomal RNA", at positions 548 to 1098 of the family's 1831-position model. The record is from RNAcentral. Lineage: Eukaryota; Fungi; Glomeromycota.
UUGGACGGCAAGUCUGGUGCCAGCAGCCGCGGUAAUUCCAGCUCCAAUAGCGUAUAUUAAAGUUGUUGCAGUUAAAAAGCUCGUAGUUGAAUUUCGGGAUUAGUACGCUGGUCGUGCCUUCGGUACGUACUGGUGUUACUGAUUUCUACCUUCUGACGAACCAUCAUAUCAUUAAUUUGGUGUGGUGGGGAAUCAGGACUGUUACUUUGAAAAAAUUAGAGUGUUUAAAGCAGGCUCGCGCUUGAAUACAUUAGCAUGGAAUAAUGAAAUAGGACGUUGAUCCUAUUUUGUUGGUUUCUAGGAUUGACGUAAUGAUUAAUAGGGAUAGUUGGGGGCAUUAGUAUUCAAUUGUCAGAGGUGAAAUUCUUGGAUUUAUUGAAGACUAACUACUGCGAAAGCAUUUGCCAAGGAUGUUUUCAUUAAUCAAGAACGAAAGUUAGGGGAUCGAAGACGAUCAGAUACCGUCGUAGUCUUAACCAUAAACUAUGCCGACUAGGGAUCGGAUGAUGUUAUUUUUAAUGACUCAUUCGGCGCCUUACGGGAAAC